GAUGAACGCCGGCGGUGUGCCUAAUACAUGCAAGUCGAACGCGUUGGCCCAACUGAUUGAACGUGCUUGCACGGACUUGACGUUGGUUUACCAGCGAGUGGCGGACGGGUGAGUAACACGUAGGUAACCUGCCCCAAAGCGGGGGAUAACAUUUGGAAACAGAUGCUAAUACCGCAUAACAAUUUGAAUCGCAUGAUUCAAAUUUAAAAGAUGGCUUCGGCUAUCACUUUGGGAUGGACCUGCGGCGCAUUAGCUUGUUGGUAGGGUAACGGCCUACCAAGGCUGUGAGGCGUAGCCGAGUUGAGAGACUGAUCGGCCACAAUGGAACUGAGACACGGUCCAUACUCCUACGGGAGGCAGCAGUAGGGAAUCUUCCACAAUGGGCGCAAGCCUGAUGGAGCAACACCGCGUGAGUGAAGAAGGGUUUCGGCUCGUAAAGCUCUGUUGUUAGAGAAGAACGUGCGUGAGAGCAACUGUUCACGCAGUGACGGUAUCUAACCAGAAAGUCACGGCUAACUACGUGCCAGCAGCCGCGGUAA
This 539-nucleotide ribosomal RNA is filed under the name uncultured bacterium. Its description in RNAcentral is "partial 16S ribosomal RNA". It matches the Rfam family "Bacterial small subunit ribosomal RNA", at positions 28 to 523 of the family's 1533-position model. The record is from RNAcentral.